RNAcentral lists this ribosomal RNA (238 nucleotides) under uncultured bacterium. RNAcentral's name for it is "partial 16S ribosomal RNA". It matches the Rfam family "Bacterial small subunit ribosomal RNA", at positions 118 to 347 of the family's 1533-position model. The record is from RNAcentral.
UGAGCAAUCUGCCCUUCUCUUCGGAAUAAGCGUGGGAAACCGCGUCUAAUGCCGAAUACGACCUCCUUUCGCAUGAUCGGAGGUGGAAAGCUCCGGCGGAGAAGGAUGAGCUCGCGGCCUGUCAGCUAGUUGGUGUGGGUAAUGGCCCACCAAGGCGACGACGGGUAGCCGGCCUGAGGAGGGUGACCCGGCCACACGUGGGACUGAGACCACGGCCCAGACCUCCGUACGGGAGCAG